This 401-nucleotide transfer-messenger RNA is filed under the name Dysgonomonadaceae. RNAcentral's name for it is "Fermentimonas sp012838585 Standard tmRNA". It matches the Rfam family "transfer-messenger RNA". From Rfam's summary of the family: Bacterial tmRNA, also known as 10Sa RNA or SsrA, is named for its dual tRNA and mRNA-like properties. Its role is to liberate the mRNA from a stalled ribosome. Lineage: Bacteria; Pseudomonadati; Bacteroidota; Bacteroidia; Bacteroidales. RNAcentral also lists the same sequence under 2 other names. The record is from RNAcentral.
GGGGUUGACUGGUUUUGACAGCGGGUAGAGGUGGUUUGUAAGCAUGCAGUGCGUUGUCGGUUUGCACUUUAAUCUCAAACGUCAAAUCAUUAACUGGCAACAACAAUUACGCUCUUGCCGCGUAGCCGAAGUACAGUAAGCUGACGCUUAAUCCCGUCACCAGGUGAUGGGACAAGACAUCGCCCGGGAGCUGUGGCUCCGAAGCGUCCCGAUCAGGCGGUGCAGGUAAAUCGGAGAUAGGAUAGGGGAGGCUUCGGCCCCUUUCCGAAAUUAAAGAAGCUAAGGAGCGGGUAUGGUGGCUUCAGUCGCGCCCACUCCCUACAACCAAAAUGAAGCUAAGCAUGUAGAAAGCAGAUGGCUUCCUCGUUUGGACGCGGGUUCGACUCCCGCCAACUCCACGG